GCUCAUGUCAGAACUGCAGAGAUCACAUGGA
This 31-nucleotide non-coding RNA is filed under the name Mus musculus (house mouse). Lineage: Eukaryota; Metazoa; Chordata; Mammalia; Rodentia; Muridae. The record is from RNAcentral.